RNAcentral lists this ribosomal RNA (253 nucleotides) under uncultured prokaryote. Its description in RNAcentral is "partial 16S ribosomal RNA". It matches the Rfam family "Bacterial small subunit ribosomal RNA", at positions 524 to 776 of the family's 1533-position model. The record is from RNAcentral.
UACGGAGGAUCCAAGCGUUAUCCGGAUUCAUUGGGUUUAAAGGGUGCGUAGGCGGACUGAUAAGUCAGCGGUGAAAUCCCACGGCUCAACUGUGGAACUGCCGUUGAUACUGUUAGUCUUGAGUGCAGAUGAUGUGGGCGGAAUAUGACAUGUAGUGGUGAAAUACUUAGAUAUGUCAUAGAACACCGAUUGCGAAGGCAGCUCGCUACACUAUUAUUGACGCUGAGGCACGAAAGCGUGGGGAUCAAACAGG